This is a long non-coding RNA of Dreissena polymorpha, 1247 nucleotides long. RefSeq lists it as uncharacterized. NCBI's taxonomy places the organism in Eukaryota, Metazoa, Mollusca, Bivalvia, Myida, Dreissenidae. The record is from RefSeq and is a predicted model, not a curated record. The transcript has 2 exons.
UUGGCAUGCAUGUGUAUCGCAUGGAGCUGAACAUUUUGGGUGGUGAAAGGUGAAGGUCAAGGUCAUCCUUCAAGGUCAAAGGUCAAAUAUAUGGAGUCUGUCCGUCCGAAAACUUUAACAUUGGCCAUAACUUUUUAUACGCCCGUAUAAAAUACGGGACGUAUAAUGUGAAACCCCUUGGCGGCUGGCGGCGGGCGGCGGGCGGAAGGCAUCACUUUGUCCGGACUCUAAUUCAAAUUGUAUUCAUCCGAUCUUCACCAAACUUGGUCAGCAGUUGCAUCUAGUUGAUAUCUAGGCCAAGUUCGAAUAUGGGUCAUGCCGGGUCAAAAACUAGGUCAUAGGGUCAAUUAGUGCAUUUUCAACGGCGCCACUUUGUCCGGACUCUAAUUCAAAUUGUAUUCAUCCGAUCUUCACCAAACUUGGUCAGCAGUUGCAUCUAGUUGAUAUCUAGGCCAAGUUCGAAUAUGGGUCAUGCCGGGUCAAAAACUAGGUCAUAGGGUCAAUAAGUGCAUUUUCAAAGGGGCCACUUUGUCCGGACUCUAUUUCAAAUUGUAUUCAUCCGAUCUUCACCAAACUUGGUCAGCAGUUGCAUCUAGUUGAUAUAUAGGCCAAGUUCGAAUAUGGGUCAUGCCGGGUCAAAAACUAGGUCAUAGGGUCAAUUAGUGCAUUUUCAACGGCGCCACUUUGUCCGGACUCUAAUUCAAAUUGUAUUCAUCCGAUCUUCACCAAACUUGGUCAGUAGUUGCAUCUAGUUGAUAUCUAGGUCAAGUCCGAAUAUGGGUCAUGCUGGGUUAAAAACUAGGUCACUGGGUCACUUAGUGCAUUUCAAGGAUUUAGCAUGGUGUCCGCUCUCUAAUUGAAGUAUUUUUCAUCCGAUCUUCACCGAAUUCGGUCAGAAGUUGUGUCUAAAUGAUAUCUAGGUCAAGAACAAAUAUGUGUCUUGGCGGGUCAAAAAAUAGGUCACAAGGUCACUUAAUGAAUUUCAAGCGUUUAGCAUGGUGUCCGCUCUCUACUUUAAGUAGUUUUCAUCUGAUCUUCACUGAAUUUGGUCAGAAGUUGAGUCUAAAUGAUAUCUAGGUCAAGAACAAAUAUGGGUCUUGCUGGGUCAAAAACUAGGUCACUUAAUGCAUUUCAAGCAUUUAGCAUGGUGUCCGCUCUCUAAUUGAAGUAGUUUUCAUCCUGUCUUUACCAAAUUUGGUCAGAAGUUGUGUCUAAUUGAUAUCUAGGUCAAGUUCAAAUAUGUGCUG